Molecule: ribosomal RNA, 253 nt
Filed under: uncultured bacterium
Lineage: Bacteria
Description: partial 16S ribosomal RNA
Rfam family: Bacterial small subunit ribosomal RNA
Source: RNAcentral
UACGUAGGGUGCAAGCGUUGUCCGGAAUUAUUGGGCGUAAAGAGCUCGUAGGCGGUUCGUCGCGUCGGCUGUGAAAUCCCGAGGCUCAACCUCGGGUCUGCAGUCGAUACGGGCGGACUGGAGUUCGGCAGGGGAGACUGGAAUUCCUGGUGUAGCGGUGAAAUGCGCAGAUAUCAGGAGGAACACCGGUGGCGAAGGCGGGUUGCUGGGCUGAUACUGACGCUGAGGCGCGAAAGCCAGGGGAGCAAACGGG